UAUUAAAAUUUUCAUCUAUUUAUAUUGUUAAAAAUUGGUGUGGCCGAUACAAUAACUAGACAGCUACACACCAUAGUUUUUAACUGUAAAAAUAAUGAAAAUUUUAACA
This is a non-coding RNA of Gossypium raimondii (Peruvian cotton), 109 nucleotides long. NCBI's taxonomy places the organism in Eukaryota, Viridiplantae, Streptophyta, Magnoliopsida, Malvales, Malvaceae. The record is from Rfam.